RNAcentral lists this ribosomal RNA (242 nucleotides) under uncultured bacterium. RNAcentral's name for it is "partial 16S ribosomal RNA". It matches the Rfam family "Bacterial small subunit ribosomal RNA", at positions 113 to 354 of the family's 1533-position model. The record is from RNAcentral.
CGACGUGAGUAACCUGCCUUGGAGAGGGGAAUAACACAUCGAAAGAUGUGCUAAUACCGCAUGAAAUGUCUGAAUCGCAUGGUUCCGGACAUCAAAGAUUUAUCGCUCUGAGAUGGACUCGCGUCUGAUUAGCUGGUUGGCGGGGUAACGGCCCACCAAGGCGACGAUCAGUAGCCGGACUGAGAGGUUGGCCGGCCACAUUGGGACUGAGACACGGCCCAGACUCCUACGGAAGGCAGCAG